GUGUUAUAUGAAAGGAAAGAGGGUCAGCAGUCCCCUUGAUAAGGAUGGAAGAGGCCCUGGGGCCUGACAACUCACAAACAGGUAAGGCAUCGCUAUCUGCUACCAAAGUAUUCUA
Molecule: small nuclear RNA, 115 nt
Organism: Cavia porcellus (domestic guinea pig)
Lineage: Eukaryota; Metazoa; Chordata; Mammalia; Rodentia; Caviidae
Source: Ensembl